Molecule: ribosomal RNA, 477 nt
Filed under: uncultured bacterium
Lineage: Bacteria
Description: partial 16S ribosomal RNA
Rfam family: Bacterial small subunit ribosomal RNA
Source: RNAcentral
ACUCAAAUGAAUAGACGGGGGCCCGCACAAGCAGCGGAGCGUGUGGUUUAAUUCGACGCAACGCGCAGAACCUUACCCAGAUUUGACUUGCACCUGCAAGCCUCUGAAAGGAGGUCGCCUUCGAGGGUGGUGCACAGAUGCUGCAUGGCUGUCGUCAGCUCGUGUCGUGAGAUGUUGGGUUAAGUCCCGCAACGAGCGCAACCCCCGCGACCAGUUACCUGUGUCUGGUCGGACUGCCCUUCGGGGAGGAAGGCGGGGAUGACGUCAAGUCCGCAUGGCUCUUACGUCUGGGGCGACACACACGCUACAAUGACACCGACAGCGCGCAGCGACCGCGCAAGCGGAAGCGAAUCGCCAAACGGUGUCUCAGUGCAGAUCGGGGGCUGCAACUCGCCCCCGUGAAGGCGGAGUUGCUAGUAACCGCGUAUCAGCCACGGCGCGGUGAAUACGUACCCGGGCCUUGUACACACCGCCCGU